This 73-nucleotide transfer RNA is filed under the name Acidimicrobiales bacterium. RNAcentral describes it as "tRNA-Ile". It matches the Rfam family "tRNA". From Rfam's summary of the family: Transfer RNA (tRNA) molecules are approximately 80 nucleotides in length. Their secondary structure includes four short double-helical elements and three loops (D, anti-codon, and T loops). Further hydrogen bonds mediate the characteristic L-shaped molecular structure. tRNAs have two regions of fundamental functional importance: the anti-codon, which is responsible for specific mRNA codon recognition, and the 3' end, to which the tRNAs corresponding amino acid is attached (by aminoacyl-tRNA synthetases). tRNAs cope with the degeneracy of the genetic code in two manners: having more than one tRNA (with a specific anti-codon) for a particular amino acid; and 'wobble' base-pairing, i.e. permitting non-standard base-pairing at the 3rd anti-codon position. Lineage: Bacteria; Bacillati; Actinomycetota; Acidimicrobiia; Acidimicrobiales. The record is from RNAcentral.
GGGAGCGUAGCUCAGUGGUUAGAGCAGGCGACUCAUAAUCGCUCGGUCGCAGGUUCGAAUCCUGCCGCUCCCA